CAGGACUAACAUUCACUGUUGUGGGCCUGGGAAAGUAAAGGCCAGUGUUGGAGAAGCCUGAGUGGGUAGGAACUGCCGGUGAUGUCUAGGGCCUGAGGGCAGCCUCCAGCAGACUCCAGUGAAAAGCCGAAAGUCUUCAGGCAUACUACCUGAAGACAAUGAAUCCUGCCAAGUCCCUGAAGGAACUUGAGAGCAGAUUCUUCUCCAGUUAAUCCUCCAGAUGAUGGUGAAACCUGAGAAACCCCUUGAAACUCUGAGCAGGUGACCCAGACCAGCCGCACCCAGAUUCUGACCCCUGGAAAUGGACUGGACAACUAAAUGAGGACUUUCCUGCCCACUGAUACUGACACGUACCGCACUAUUCAGGUGUCCACUAUUCAGUUCUGGCACUGACACUUAUUUUUAAAAAAAGAUUUUAAUUUUAUGUAAAGAUUGAACAUCACUAAAAUAACUUAACAAAAGAAAAAAAAGAAGAAAGAAGAAAUAGACUGUACCUUCAGGUCUUCUUGUGGGCUGGAUUUUGUCCCAGUCAAAAAGAUAAAUGUUCAAGUCUUAACCUCCUCUCCUUAUGAACGUGACCUUAUUUGCAAGUAGGUUCUUUGCAGUUGUAAUCAAGUCAAGACGAGGUCAUACUGGAUGAGGGUGGCCCUAAUCUGACUGGAGUCUCUAUAAGAAGAGGGAAAUUUGAACACAGACACACAGGGAAGAAGACCUCACGGAAGCAGAGAUUGGCGCAAUGUAUCUGCAAGCCAAGGAACAGCAAGGAUUGCUGACAACCAUCAAAGGCCAGGAGAGGCAGGGAAGGGUCCUCCCCCAGUGUCUACACAGAGAACGUGGCCCUGCCCUCAUUUUGACUUGUGACUUCCAGACUCAAGAGCUGUGAGAGAAUACAUUUCUGUUGUUGUAAGCCACCUAUUUUGUGAUAAUUUGUUAUGGCAGCCCUAGGAAACUAAUACAGCUGCCUUCUCUGGAAAUGUUAUUGGUUGCAUAGUGCUUUGUCUCUUCCAUUCCAGAGGAUAAUUCUGUAAUUGAAUGUAGUAAGAAGUCAUCUAUAUAAUUUUCUCAUUUUAUAGGUAAGGAAACUGAGAUCUAAGGACAACAUUCGUAGUAGAUCACAGAGACGUAAUGGGAAGAGUCAGAAAAAUAGCACAAUCUCUUGACUAUUUGUCUUGUGCUUUUCUUCAAUGCACUCUCUUGCAAAGGAAUUUAGAACUAAUGGUUGAAAAAACAAGCAAAUAUGUAACUCUUUAUCAUCUUUUCAAACUAUCGUCACAGAUUUAGCCAUAAUCACAAAGCAUAUUGAAGGCUACAGGAACCAGCAUCUCACUGUUCCAAAUGCAGCUUGCUUUGUUUUUGCUUGGUUCCCAAAGUGUUUUUUUAAAUAUAACUAUCAUAUUGUUCAUUGCUAUAAUAAUAUUUGCAACUAGAUUCAGACUUGCAUCAUUUAAUUCAUGACUCUAACAAGUGAAGCAUUUUCCACCUCCCUUUCCCCAAAUGCCCCCCUCUUCACACAUGUACGCCUAGGGACACAUAUAAACCUCAUCAGUGUUGACACCUUGAUUGGACUAUUAGAUAUGUAUGAAAAAUCCAUACAUUAAUAUAUUUUCCAGUGACUAAGAUCUAUUUUAUGAGAUCUGUGUCCAGUGUGCAAAUAAUAAUAACAGAAAGCUCAGCUCCAGAGAUCAGAGGUGGGGAGGGCAUGUUACCCCUACUGAUGGCAAAAAGCACCACCCCCAUCACAUCAAAGACAGGGAUUUCAGAGCUUGUCAUUGUAUUAUUUAUAAUUAAACAAAAAAUCUGAUUUUACAAGGCUGAGGAGAGAUAAAAUUUGGGCUAUUUUAUUAAAAUUUUAGAUUAAGAUAUAGAACUACUAAACUCACAGGUUAAAAUUCAUAGAGUAAAUACUCUUGUUCACUUUUUACUAGUUAUCUAAUAAUAAGAAGAAAUUUACUUUUCUGAGUUCCAGGGAACAACAUUGAAUGCUCUUAAACAUUACUAUCUAGAUGUAUAGUUCCUGCUGCUUUUUGAUAAAUUAAUUUUAUUUGCAAACUAUGGUUAUCUUAAAAGAAAUUUCAUCAAACCUAUUUUACAUUGCUUUACUUUUUAGUCACCAAUAUUCAUGAAAAUAUAGUACCAUUUUUGCUUUUUGGUACUGCAUAUAUGGUGGGACUUAUUUUGUCAUUAAGUUUAUUAUGCUUUAUUGCUAUGUAUGUACCAAUAUUUACGGAUUUACUGACAAGAACAUGUUUCUAGCCAUGAAAUUUUAUAGCAGUUUUUCAGUUUUUGUAUAUUAUUACUGUAUAAUCCGAUUUAAUGAAUUCUCUGGUUUGAAUAAACACACAUAUUUAUGUAUAAAACUAUAUGUGCAUGAACAUAUAUUCAUGUGUAUUUAUUAAUAUUAUGCUAUUCUAUUUUGAAACUACUUUAAUAUCACUAUAAUGCAUGUAAAUGAAAGGUCCUUAAUAUUUCAUCAGACAAUUUUCCUUCUGUAAUUAAGAAAUAUCUUAUACUUCAGCUAGUCUUAACCACUGGUAAACUGAGACUGUUAAUAGCCUAUAGCUUUACUAGUAUGGUAACCAUCAACCACAUGUGGCUAUCUAAACUUAAAUGAAUUAAAACUAAAUAAAAAUGAAAAUUCAGCUCCUCAGUUGCACCAAGUACAUUUCUAGUGUUCAAUGGACACACGUAGCUAGUCAUCUCUUUAUUAGAUUUUGCAGAUAUAAAGUGUGUCUAUCACUGCACAAAGUCCAAGUGGGUAGUACUGGUCUCCAGCAUUAAAUGCUAGAACUAAAAGUUUUUUAAAAAUAGCUUUUUCAAGAAGCAUAUGAAUAUGGCCAACUUAUGUAUUCCAAAGAAUAAAUUUUUAAGACUUUGUACAACAAAUGUCAAAAGAGAAGGAAAAAUAAAGGAUCUAUGUAUUUUUGCAUAAAGUACUAAAUAUCCAGAUGUCCUACACCAAAUUCCUUCUGUUUUAUGUUGUGCCAAGAAUUGGCAUGCUUUCUACCACAUGCCUAGCAUGGGUGCCAGACUGCGAUCAUCCUUAGUUACAUUGCUGAGAGGGUACAUGUCAGUUAAGGGUUUAGCUAGCUUUCUGCCAACAUCCUGAUUUAAUUCUAAAUUGCAUGGCAAAUAAAAUAAUAACGUGAAUUUUACGUAUAACCUCUUUUCAUUCAUGAUAUAGGUAAGUGUCAGAUAGAUAUAUGGAUAAAAUAUACAUAAUUUAUAUGGUAGCAUUACACUUUAAAAUACAUAUAAAUUUUUAAUUAAUGUUUUACCAUUAUCGUAUGAUAAUUAAAAAUGUAUAUUAAUUGUUAGAUAAAGUUUGAACCUGCACCCUGAAGAAAGGAAGGGAAGACUAAGAAAAUUCAUGUAAAAUACCUCUGCUAAUGAAAAAUAAAUUAUCAAAACUGAUAGUAAAAAGAAGUAAAUUGGGGCCCUAAUUUAAAUUUCCCCUUCUUGUCAUUCAUAAUUUCUAGUUUUCAGUUUUACUAUGACUGUUAGAUAAGAAAAAUGACCAAAGCAUGCCAUUGGUCUUUAAUAAUUCUUUAAUAAUAUGUCACAUACCGUGCUCAGGGGUCAGUGCUCAAACACCAUAGAGAAGGCUGGCAGCUGCCCAGGAGCUUCUGCCUAACAAACGAAAUAAUAGUUUCAAAGAUGCAGGGGUGCUCCAGCCAACAACAGGAAGAAAGGUUUUCUUAUUUUUCACAUAGAUUAGUGUUGGAAAGGUGUGUGCUACUAGGAAAGAAUUUGACUUCAAUAGUGCAAGAAGCCUGUCAAAAACCCACAGCAACAUCCCAGGACGUCUGGCAGCAGAGAUGCAGUCUGUCUGGCAGUGGAGACACUACUCCCAUCUCUUUUCCCAGUCAUCAAAAUGAAGAGUUUCAUUUCACUAUUUCUCAGCAGACAGUUCUUUCUCAGAAAAAAAUUAAAAUAGCAUAUAGAAUAUAUUCAAACUGUAAAUUUUAUGAAAAUUACAUUAAUUUAAGAUGACACACUAUGAAAUGCCUAAAUAUUAUGAGUGCUCAUUUAACUAUUACACACCAACCUACCAUGGAAGAAUCCUAGUGCUCACUGUGGCACAAGUAAAGAUAAGCACAACUGAUAAAAAUAAUAAGGAAAAGAAGAAGGAUUCAAUGAGUGUCAAUUACUAAUUCCUUUUGUUGUCUGUUGCCACUUUCGUUUUAAUAUCCUUUGGUUUUCUUGACUUCUUUAGCUAUUUUGUCUGGAAAACUCAGGAUAGGAAAAGAAAAAUAAUCAAGAUAAGUAAAAAGAAAGUAUGUGUCAAACACCACAUGUUCUCGCUCACAAGUGGGAGUUGAACCGUGAGAACACAUGGACACAGGGAGGGGAACAUCACACACCAGGGCGUGUCAGGGGGUGGGGGGAUAGGGGAGGGAUAGCAUUAGGAGAAACACCUAAUGUAGAUGACAGGUUGAUGGGUGCAGCAAACCACCAUGGCACGUGUGUACCUAUGUAACAAACCCUACGUUCUGCAUAUGUAUCCUAGAACUUAAAGUAUAAUUUAAAAAAUUGUAAAAAAGAACGUGUGUAUGUAGUUGAUUGCAGUGUAAAUUUUUUGUAAUGAAUAAAUUGUACAUUUGUGUAUUAAUAUUUUACCAUAUCUCCAGUAUCAUGCUAUGCCCUAAAAGAGACAUUGGUUUCAGCAAGGUAAAUCUAACUGCAUAAGUACAUAUGUGACAUGCCUUAAAUAACUUCCAGAAUCUAGUAGAGUGUUACUUAACUAAUUAGAACACAUACAUAAUUAUAUAACAAAAAGUAUAUGUAGUACCAGGUUGUCUAGUAUAGACAUGUCUUUAUCACGUAAUAAUGGUUCAAUUAUAGUUCAGAGAAGGGAGAAUGCUACAAUUAGCUGAAUUCACCUUGAUGAAGGAAAUGGAAUUAAUUUGGCCUUGAUGAAUUAUUCAAAUACAUAGGGGAAGAAAGGAAGAAGAAUGGUCCUCCUAGGGCUGCAAAGAAACUGAAUCAAAAAUGAGCAUCUGAGUUCAGAAGGCAGUUCAGGCUUGACUGAACAGAAUUUUUC
Molecule: long non-coding RNA, 5041 nt
Filed under: Homo sapiens (human)
Lineage: Eukaryota; Metazoa; Chordata; Mammalia; Primates; Hominidae
Description: HSALNT0082303
Source: RNAcentral